AUCUGAAAAAGGCAAACUUAUCCGAAAGGGAAGGACGCAAAGCCAUGAGCCUAACCACUGGAAUUCCAGUGAACGGUUGUCAGGCUGCCAGG
Regulatory RNA element from Planomicrobium sp., 92 nucleotides. It matches the Rfam family "c-di-GMP-I riboswitch aptamer". Rfam says of the family: GEMM was predicted in a large-scale screen for bacterial structured RNA regulatory elements. Genes associated with GEMM are involved in a diverse array of functions, including chemotaxis regulation, signal transduction, secretion and chitin. The record is from Rfam. Lineage: Bacteria; Bacillati; Bacillota; Bacilli; Caryophanales; Caryophanaceae.